RNAcentral lists this ribosomal RNA (338 nucleotides) under uncultured crenarchaeote. Its description in RNAcentral is "partial 16S ribosomal RNA". It matches the Rfam family "Archaeal small subunit ribosomal RNA", at positions 330 to 670 of the family's 1478-position model. The record is from RNAcentral. Lineage: Archaea; Thermoproteati; Thermoproteota.
GUGCAGCAGUCGCGAAAACUCCGCAAUACGCGAAAGCGUGACGGGGCUACCCCGAGUGUCGUCCGCUGAGGACGACUUUUCCACGCUGUAAGGAGGCGUGGGAAUAAGGAGAGGGCAAGUCUGGUGUCAGCCGCCGCGGUAAUACCAGCUCUCCGAGUGGUAGGGACGAUUAUUGGGCUUAAAGCGUCCGUAGCCGGCUCAGCAAGUCUCCCGUUAAAUCCAACGAUUCAAUCGUUGGACUGCGGGAGAUACUGCUCGGCUAGGGGGUGGGAGAGGCCAACGGUAUUCUCGGGGUAGGGGUGAAAUCCUAUAAUCGCGGGAGGACCACCAGUGGCGAA